UAGUUUGAUAUUGGCUACCAUAUUGGCUAUAGUAAAAUAUAAUACAUGCAAUCUACUGAUGCCCCGUGAAAUUACAAACAAACUAAAAGAUCCUCAAACCAAGAUAAGAAGAAUCCGUUAUCUUACUUCACGCCUGCAGUAAAGAAUUUUGCUUUAAAUAUAACAUAUAUUACAGGUAUUACAUCAAGUGUUGACAAAAUUCGUGCCAGCCGUCGCGGUUAAACGAUAAACACAUGUCAAUAUACUCCGGAACUACAAUGAUAGAUAUUAAUAAUUACAAUAGUACAAUAUAAAUAAUAAAAUAAAACUCAUCACUAUCUUACAAAAUAAAAAAACGACCAAAAACAAGGAUUAGAUACCCUUCUAUCCCUUUCCUCCUCUCUUCCGGGCACUACGAACUCCCGUUUAAAACCCAAACCACUUGGCGGCACUUUACGCUAUUAGGGGAAUCUGUCCUAUAACUCGUCAACCCACGUUAAACCCUUCUUAUUAUAGAUUUCAGCUUGUAUACCGCCGUCGUAAGCCCGCAUUAUACCCAAAUCGCUGGCACUCCAGGAGAGGCCCCCCUCUGACGUCAGGUCAUUGUGCAGCCUAUUAAUAAGUUGAGAUGGAUUACAUUAAAUAUAAAACAGGCUAACAGACACUACCCUCUGUUAUAAUACGGACUUAACAGUAAAUUGUUAAUAAUAUGAACCAUUGAAUGUGCAAUUUAAAGUGUGCACAAAUCGCCCGUCACUCUCACCGAAAGGCGAGAUAAGUCGUAACAUAGUAGGCGUAACUGAAGUUGUGCCUU
RNAcentral lists this ribosomal RNA (793 nucleotides) under Platynereis massiliensis. RNAcentral describes it as "12S ribosomal RNA". Lineage: Eukaryota; Metazoa; Annelida; Polychaeta; Phyllodocida; Nereididae. The record is from RNAcentral.